CCUACGGGCGGCAGCAGUGGGGAAUAUUGGACAAUGGGGGCAACCCUGAUCCAGCCAUGCCGCGUGUGUGAAGAAGGCCCUCGGGUUGUAAAGCACUUUCAGUGAGGAAGAACGCCUGGUGGUUAAUACCCAUCAGGAAAGACAUCACUCACAGAAGAAGCACCGGCUAACUCCGUGCCAGCAGCCGCGGUAAUACGGAGGGUGCGAGCGUUAAUCGGAAUUACUGGGCGUAAAGCGCGCGUAGGUGGCUUGAUAAGCCGGUUGUGAAAGCCCCGGGCUCAACCUGGGAACGGCAUCCGGAACUGUCAAGCUAGAGUGCAGGAGAGGAAGGUAGAAUUCCCGGUGUAGCGGUGAAAUGCGUAGAGAUCGGGAGGAAUACCGGUGGCGAAGGCGGCCUUCUGGACUGACACUGACACUGAGGUGCGAAAGCGUGGGUAGCAAACAGGAUUAGAUACCCGGGUAGUC
Molecule: ribosomal RNA, 465 nt
Filed under: Vreelandella stevensii
Lineage: Bacteria; Pseudomonadati; Pseudomonadota; Gammaproteobacteria; Oceanospirillales; Halomonadaceae
Description: partial 16S ribosomal RNA
Rfam family: Bacterial small subunit ribosomal RNA
Source: RNAcentral